AGAAGAGCCCUGUGGCUUCAGGCUAUUCGGCGUGGGAAAUGUGGGGACGCAGAGUAAGCGUUGCUAUGCGUGUGGAAAACAUAUCACAGUCUCCAAGGGGCAGCGAAUUCAGAGUAGGGGAGAGGAGUGCAGUGCGUUGACUCGAAGUUCCGCAUGUACUUCCGUGCCUGAGGAAAGGAGGGAGGGAACAAGUGAUGGAAACGGAGAAGAGUCGGACAAUGAACGAGAGAGAACAUUCCCAAUAAAUGGAACUCUGUAGAUUA
This is a long non-coding RNA of Coregonus clupeaformis (lake whitefish), 263 nucleotides long. RefSeq lists it as uncharacterized. The transcript has 2 exons. NCBI's taxonomy places the organism in Eukaryota, Metazoa, Chordata, Actinopteri, Salmoniformes, Salmonidae. The record is from RefSeq and is a predicted model, not a curated record.